This 270-nucleotide ribosomal RNA is filed under the name uncultured bacterium. RNAcentral describes it as "partial 16S ribosomal RNA". It matches the Rfam family "Bacterial small subunit ribosomal RNA", at positions 524 to 794 of the family's 1533-position model. The record is from RNAcentral.
UACGAAGGGGGCUAGCGUUGCUCGGAAUGACUGGGCGUAAAGGGCGCGUAGGCGGUUUGGUUCGUUAGGCGUGAAAUUCCUGGGCUUAACCUGGGGGCUGCGCUUAAUACAACCAGGCUUGAGUGUGAAAGAGGGUCGUGGAAUUCCCAGUGUAGAGGUGAAAUUCGUAGAUAUUGGGAAGAACACCGGUGGCGAAGGCGGCGACCUGGUUCAUAACUGGACGCUGAGGCGCGAAAGCGUGGGGAGCAAACAGGAUUAGAUACCCGGAGU